Molecule: small nuclear RNA, 192 nt
Organism: Prosopis cineraria
Lineage: Eukaryota; Viridiplantae; Streptophyta; Magnoliopsida; Fabales; Fabaceae
Product: U2 spliceosomal RNA
Exons: 1
Source: RefSeq, a predicted model, not a curated record
AUAUCUUUCUCAGCCUUUUGGCUAAGAUUAAGUGUAGUAUCUAUUCUUAUCAGUUUAAUAUCUGAUACGUGGGCCAAUAGUCCACACGAUAUUAAAUUCAAUUUUUUAGGGGGAGGGUCCAUCGCGGUAGCUAUUGGGAUCCUUGAGCGUCGUCCAUGUGUUGCACUACUGCUUGGUCCUGGCGCACCCAUC